CAAAAAACUAUACAUUAGAGAAUUGAAGAUUUGCUGCUCACCGACUGAUGUAUAAAAUUUGAAUCGACAUUUCUGUUAUGUUGAAGAAUCACGUGAUCUGGGACUAUCUCGGCCGUGGCGCGGCUGGACGCGAUCAUGUUGGAUUGCUUUCUCGCCGUCGCCGCUGUAAAAGACAAGUACCUAAAAUCAUCCUACUUGCAUGUUUUCCAUUUAUGCAUUUUCGCAUUUGCACGCUAUUAUUAUUAUUAUUAUUCCCCAGAAUCGUUUUGUCACACUUAUACAUAAAAUCAAAGAAAUCUUUGCGAGACUUUUUCGACAAAAGAACAAUUUGUUACACUGUACACUACAUUAUCUAAUGAAAUAGAAAUUAGAAUGAAUACAAAAGUAUGUUAAAUAAAAGGAAGUUUUGGUUUCUUAACCAUAGUCUCAGAGUCUCUGGAAUAUAGCCUCACUACCCAUUCUUACCUGCAAUGUGCCAAAACUUAUACCAUGAGUCUUUCUACCAAUAUUGUGUAAUGUUGUUAUAUCAAAAGUAACACAAGCUUACAUAAGAUCAAAAAACCAUUAGUGAUGACAAGAUGUGUACAGUAAUUGUGUAUGAAGGCUUGAUCUGUGAAUGUAGUAUUGCAUCCAAAAAACAAACUACAAUUGAGCUGU
RNAcentral lists this long non-coding RNA (657 nucleotides) under Androctonus crassicauda. The record is from RNAcentral. Lineage: Eukaryota; Metazoa; Arthropoda; Arachnida; Scorpiones; Buthidae.